AAGCUCUCCACCCUUCUCCUCUCGGAAAGGCUCUGGGAACCGGGCGGGGGUUUGGGCUCGGUGCGGCUCCUCGCUAGGCCGUGACUCAUGGGGAAGAUAGAUGGGAAGAGGAAAUCUCUGAGCUAGCCAUUGCUGAGAAAGCAUGAGAAAUGGCUCCCAUCAGGUGUCCAGUCACCAAAAUCAGGAUCCAGCUUCAGAUGGUUAGUAUCUGUGUGCCACCCAUAUUUCAAGCAUCACUAAUACAGCUGUUGGCAUGACUAAAAUCUAGCUUUGGGAACUCGGGUUCAAAACCUGUCUUACCAACUCUUCUCAUAAAUGAGAUCAGCAACCUUUUCUCCACAUCCCCUCACACCAUUCCCAAUCUCUCAUUCAUCAUCCUAAUUCAGACCAUCACCUUUUCAUAUUUCAUCUCCUUCAUUUUAAUCCCCACACCAUUCUCUUCCAUAGAGCAGAAAAAAUGAUUUUCCUAAAGUGCACACUAGAUGACCAUGCGACCUCUGAACUGCAUGCAUUCCUAUGGUUAUUAUCCCUACGAUUAAAAUAGAAAUUCUGCAUUUAAAGCUAUUCAUAAUCCUGGCCUCUAUCUUUUCAGUCUCCUUCCACAAUUUCCCUUGAUGUAUUAUUCUGUAAUCCAGAAGGUCACCUUCUGCAGAAGUUCCCCCAAUUGCUAGGGCUUUGCUCUCUAAGGAUACCUUGUAUUUUGUAUGGUAUAUAUAGAUCUAUAUACAAGUGGUCAUAUCAUUAGAAUGUAUGCUCCUUGAGGGGAAGACUCUUUUCUUUGAAAAUACUAGGGCAGUUUAGGAUAAUACCUGUCAUAUAAUGCAUGAUUAAAUUCUGAAUUCUGCAACAAUACUGUAUGCAAAAAAAAAUCUAACUUGAUCAAUAGACAUGAACAAAAAAAUAAGAACUGGAGUCAAUUAUUACGUUAGAUUGAAAAACAUGGUCUAGUCCCUUAACAAGAGGGAUAAAAUAACCCAUGUGAUCUGCUGGUUUUUUAAAUUAAAAAAAA
Molecule: long non-coding RNA, 1009 nt
Filed under: Sarcophilus harrisii (Tasmanian devil)
Lineage: Eukaryota; Metazoa; Chordata; Mammalia; Dasyuromorphia; Dasyuridae
Description: lncRNA (ENSSHAG00000022253.1)
Source: RNAcentral